UUUUCUUAUUGCUUGCGAACCAUUUGAAAAAAAGCCUGGACGAGUACAAGAACUAGAAGAUCCAAAAACUUGUUUAAGGAUCCCAGCAAUCCUUAGCCAUUGUUGGGUUGUUGUAGUUUUUCAAGUUAGUGAUCUCUCUUUCUGUCGUUUUUGAACGCACAAGCGCCACAAGGCACGCAAGGGGCCUAAGAUAUCGGAAAUCUCUUUCAUUCAUGCUUUUUUUGAAUUCGGAAACAAACAAACAAUGAAGCUUGUGCUUGUUCUUCUUCUUCUCUAUAUGCCCUCUUGGAUUUUUCACUUCUGUUUCGUGCAUGCUGUACCUGUACACGACCCUUUUCUUUCCUCUCCAGCUUCCUCUCCUUCUUCUAUAGUUUCUGCUUCCAUGGCUGCCUUCUCUCCAGGAAUUCAAUCCCAAAUGGGAACAGAAGAAGACCACCACAAGAUGAAGUUAGACAAGAAAAUAGCCAUAUUACUUACUGUUGCUUGUGGCAUUCUGGCUAUAAUCGUCCUUGUCUCGUUGUUUGGUUGUUGCAUUUAUUAUUGGAAGUUGUAUCAAAGAAAGAAAAAUGCCCAGUUCUCAGAGGUUGAGAAAGGGGUGUCAGCAACACCAUUCUUGGGUAAAUUUAAUUCAUUGACGAUGGUUAGUAACAGGGGAUCUGUUUCAUUGAUUGAUUAUAAGCUACUGGAAAAGAGUACAAAAAAUUUUGGCGAUGACAAUUUAUUGGGCAAGGGUGGAUUUGGACGAGUUUAUAAAGCUUUGUUGGAAGAUGACAAGCAUGUUGCAGUCAAGAAACUAGACUGUGCAGGUGAAGAUGCCCGGAGAGAAUUUGAGAAUGAGGUGGAUUUGUUAAGCAAAAUUCAUCACCCAAAUAUCAUUUCUCUUCUGGGUUACUGUGUUCAUGAGGACAUGGGGUUUAUUGUUUACGAAUUGAUGCAAAAUGGGUCCCUUGAAGAUCUAUUGCAUGGACCUUCUCGUGGAUCUUCAUUAAGUUAGCAUAUAAGGUUGGAAAAUUGCUCUUUAAACAGCAAGUUUAUAGGAGCUUCUCGUGGAUCUU
Molecule: unclassified non-coding RNA, 1055 nt
Filed under: Hevea brasiliensis (rubber tree)
Lineage: Eukaryota; Viridiplantae; Streptophyta; Magnoliopsida; Malpighiales; Euphorbiaceae
Source: RNAcentral